AGAACGAACGCUGGCGGCGUGCCUAACACAUGCAAGUCGAACGGAAUAAGGGGCUUGCUUCUUAUUUAGUGGCGCACGGGUGAGUAACGCGUAGAUAAUCUGCCUGAUGAUCUGGGAUAACAUUUCGAAAGAGGUGCUAAUACCGGAUAAGCCCACGACGGCCUUGGUCGACGCGGGAAAAGGGGGGGACCUUCGGGCCUUCUGUCAUCAGAUGAGUCUGCGUACCAUUAGCUAGUUGGUGGGGUAAAGCCUACCAAGGCUACGAUGGUUAGCUGGUCUGAGAGGAUGAUCAGCCACAC
RNAcentral lists this ribosomal RNA (299 nucleotides) under uncultured soil bacterium. Its description in RNAcentral is "partial 16S ribosomal RNA". It matches the Rfam family "Bacterial small subunit ribosomal RNA", at positions 26 to 313 of the family's 1533-position model. The record is from RNAcentral.